Leptopilina boulardi is the source of this 1944-nucleotide long non-coding RNA. RefSeq lists it as uncharacterized. The transcript has 3 exons. The record is from RefSeq and is a predicted model, not a curated record. NCBI's taxonomy places the organism in Eukaryota, Metazoa, Arthropoda, Insecta, Hymenoptera, Figitidae.
UUAAUUUUACAUUUUCUAAAAUUUUCUCUCUAAAAUUUGUUUUUAUUAAAUUUUUUUUUAAAAUUUUAGUUUUAAAAAUUAAUUGUUUAUAAUCCUUUCUCAAAAAUAUUUUGUUAAAAAAAUUUUUGGAAAAAGAGGCUUUUGAAACAUAUUUUGGUAUUUACGCGUUCACAAAUGUAAAAGUCCAGAGUAACUGUCUAUGAUGUUAAUUAAUGCGUAAAAGUCAUGUCAUUUUUUUACAUGUUAAACGAACACAGGUUGGUAAUUUUAUUUAAUCAAAAAAUAAAAUGCUGUGGAUUGAUGCGCGAUAACUUUAAUUGAAAAACGAAGUUACUUCUUCAAUGUUUUAUUUUAUUUUUCAAUUUCACGUAUUACGAAUAAUAAAAUUUGAUUUUCAAAUACAUAUUAGAUUAACAUGUUGUGCAUAUUAGAAAUUAAAUAUGAAAAAGAUUUUAUUUAUACGCGUUUUUGAUUACAUUUCUCAUAUUUCAGAAUACUGUUAGUGCAGUGCAAAUUAAAUCUCAAAAAUAAUUGUAUGCUUUCAAAGGUAAGUGUUAAUAAAUAUUUAAUCUAUGCAGCUUAAUUUACAAAUGUUAUCACAAGUGAUAUGAUUGAAACUAUGUGUAAUUUUAAAUAGACAAUUUAAGAAAAGAUAUUAUCAAAUUUUUAUUGCAUAAUUAAACUUCAGAAUGAUCAUUUAUGCACCUAAAACUACAAAAACUAUAAACUUUCGAGACUCUUCAGCUGAAGGUAUUCUCAACGUUUUGUUGCAGCUUGGGUUUUAGAAACAAAGAUAAUUAUUUCUCUUUUCAAUAUUAGUUGUUUAAUAAAUCCAAGGAAUAAUUCAUUUUUGCGUCUAAAACUACACAAACUACAACUUUUGGAGACUCUUUAGGUAAAGGUAUUCUCGACGUUUCGUUGUAGCUUGUGUUUUAGAAACAAAGAUAAUUAUUUCUCUUUUCAAUAUUAGUUGUUUAAUAAAUCCAAGGAAUAAUUCAUUUUUGCGUCUAAAACUACACAAACUACAACUUUUGGAGACUCUUUAGGUAAAGGUAUUCUCGACGUUUCGUUGUAGCUUGUGUUUUAGAAACGAAGAUAAUUAUUUUUCUUUUCAAUUUUAGUUGAUUAAUAAAACCUUGGAAUAAUUUAUUUUUUGCAUCUAAAACUACACAAACUACAACUUUUGGAGACUCUUUAGGUAAAGGUAUUCUCGACGUUUCGUUGUAGCUUGUGUUUUAGAAACAAAGAUAAUUAUUUCUCUUUUCAAUAUUAGUUGUUUAAUAAAUCCAAGGAAUAAUUCAUUUUUGCGUCUAAAACUACACAAACUACAACUUUUGGAGACUCUUUAGGUAAAGGUAUUCUCGACGUUUCGUUGUAGCUUGUGUUUUAGAAACGAAGAUAAUUAUUUUUCUUUUCAAUUUUAGUUGAUUAAUAAAACCUUGGAAUAAUUUAUUUUUUGCAUCUAAAACUACACAAACUACAACUUUUGGAGACUCUUUAGGUAAAGGUAUUCUCGACGUUUCGUUGUAGCUUGUGUUUUAGAAACAAAGAUAAUUAUUUCUCUUUUCAAUAUUAGUUGUUUAAUAAAUCCAAGGAAUAAUUCAUUUUUGCGUCUAAAACUACACAAACUACAACUUUUGGAGACUCUUUAGGUAAAGGUAUUCUCGACGUUUCGUUGUAGCUUGUGUUUUAGAAACGAAGAUAAUUAUUUUUCUUUUCAAUUUUAGUUGAUUAAUAAAACCUUGGAAUAAUUUAUUUUUUGCAUCUAAAACUACACAAACUACAACUUUUGGAGACUCUUUAGGUAAAGGUAUUCUCGACGUUUCGUUGUAGCUUGUGUUUUAGAAACAAAGAUAAUUAUUUCUCUUUUCAAUAUUAGUUGUUUAAUAAAUCCAAGGAAUAAUUCAUUUUUGCGUCUAAAACUACACAAACUACAACUUUUGG